This is a long non-coding RNA of Mustela lutreola (European mink), 4300 nucleotides long. RefSeq lists it as uncharacterized. Lineage: Eukaryota; Metazoa; Chordata; Mammalia; Carnivora; Mustelidae. The record is from RefSeq and is a predicted model, not a curated record. The transcript has 6 exons.
AGAGCAUUAGCAAAUGUCUUUCCUUUCUGGGAAUGGUGUUCUCUCACAGCAUCAUUCUGAAUGAUCACUUUCCAGAGAUACAAGAGGUUAGUCUUUCCAAUGAACUGUAUGGUGACGGACAAGGCCAGUGGUUCCAAGGGCAGGAGACUGGUGCUACCUUUGGGCCUCGGAGAAACAUUAGGAUCAAGAGCACAGCUACUGGAGCUAGACUGCUUGGAUCUGAAGUUAAUUCUGCUACCAGCUAUGUAUAAUAAUUAAAGCAAUCUCCUUACUCUCAAAAAUACAUGAUCAAACUACUGAUGGGUCAGAUAAAAUUAAAGUUGAAAUGUACAAGUGGUAGCCGUAGCAAGACAAAUUUUGGCAGACUGUUGAAGACGGAAGCCUGGUUGGAAGGGUUUACAAAAGUGGAUGACAACAACUGGAGACAGUUAGAUGAUUAUUUUGAAGACUUUUGCUACAAGAAAGAGAAGAAAUGAGUUCAUAGGUCAUCCCCCCAUAAUGAACCAAGUUGAUAUUUGAGGAUUGGACUGUGCAGCACUCAGAGUUCUUGAACCUUGAGGUGAAUGCAGGACCUGCCUGGGAUUGGUGUCCUCUCUCUCGGGGAGCAGUCUGUGUUCUUUGAGAUUCUCUCCUGCAUGUUCUGUUCGCUGGAAUCAAAGCAAAAGGAAAGCUCACACAUUGAGAAAAGAUUCCAAUAAAAGGAUAUCUGCUAUUCUUCCAUAUGUCCUAAGAGUUGGAAAUUGAAGAAUGCAACGGAAAGCAAGAUGAACGAGGCAAGAGUGUGUAGCCGUCAAUCCUGGAUCCAGGGGGCCAUUACUGACUGAGUUAGAGACAUCCCUGCCACGCAGCACGGAGAUUUAUAACUCUGAGCAAAGGUUUCAACAAAUAAGAUUUCUUCACUCCAAAGUCCAUCUAUGUGUGCUCCCUGAAAUAAAGAACAGAGCAUUUCUGUCUGCUGGUGUCUAAUCCCAGGAGCCUUGGCAGCAGAGGCAGGAGAGUUCCAAAAGGUCUUCUUAUAGCUCUGGAGAUAAUGACCAGCUCAAACAAGCUGGAGCCGCACGGGGAUACCCAUGGACUUUAUCUCUUUCUCUCCCAUUCCCCCUGCCCCCCUCAGGCUGACAUAGUGUCUGUACUGACACAGACAGUCCAGAAAAAAGAAACUGUGUCUUUUUUAUAACUUUUACUUAAGUGGGAUAAAUGGAAUGAUCAUAACUGAAAGAUUUGUUGGAAACAUACUUCCUAUCCAGAAAAUCCAUUGUAAUGUUGCAAUUAAAAAGUUCUACUCAGAGCAAGAGUAAAAAAAGAAAAGAGAAAAAGGGCAAGAACUGGGAUUAGGUUUAAUGACCUGGAACACGCAAGGAACAUAAUAAAAUUUCUGAUUCCAUGUCAGGGAUGUGGGUACGUGGUCUAAGACAUACAUCGGACUCUUCAAUGGCUCUGCUACCCUGCCCCCACAGUGCCCCCUCCCAUGAAGACAGGCAACAGGGAAGGUGCUUGAAUUCUUUCAGGGCCUAUGGCGGUCACUAAGCAAUUUGUUUCUUUAACAUCUGAAAUAACAUGUAAACCUCACGUGGGUGCCAGAUUGGGGAAGUGCGGUUGAGAUGUCCCACGAGACAAUGUUUUUUGGAAACAUUCAAUGACACCAAAUCCCCUCCAGUGCACAAUUUUGUAUAAGACUUCCAUUUUGGAGCCCAGCCCAAAUACUAGUGGAAUUCAGCGUUACAUUACAAUUUGACUUACUACAAAGUCUUGCGGCAGAGUCCAGGUAUGGUAAGCUUUGAAUUACCUAAUCAGGGUAGGAGCCAGUUGGCCUAUGGAAUACCUGAAAAUUAAACACUAUCUACCAGGGAUGAGAAAGUAUGCCCACUUAGAAACUCUGUUGAGGCGUACCUUGAAAACUGAAAACCAUACAAAUGCCAACAAUGUCUUCGUUUUUGCGAUGUUCACGGUCUUGUGAUGAAAGAAGAUGAAAAAAUAAUAACCUUAAAUAAUUUAAAGUGGUGUAAUUAAGGGUAUAUCCAGGGCAUUGUCAGAACGCAGAAGAGGGACACGCUUAUCCAGCCAGGUGAUGAAGGCCAGGGAAGGUUGCCACUCUAUUUAGUUAUAAGAAAUUCAAGGUACAGUUAAUGCAUCAUGUCUUGAAGAUGGCACUUUUCCUCCAAACAACUCAGACUUUUCCCAGAACCAUUCCAAAGGACUUAGCUUUUCUCAUAAAUGCUCUAUGUAUUUGUUCAACUACAUCCUCUGUGAAUGGAAGAGAGGUCAGAACUAUGUCACUGCUUUGUAACCUGAGGUCUCCUGCCUUGUCUACUAAAUGGGUUACUGAAUUAGUAUUCCUCCCUACACAUUUUUCCUCUAAAAAGCCUGUUCUUUUCUGCCUUGGAAUCUGAGCCCCUACUUCUCUAUAUAUCAUUCUUCACAGAUCUCUAUCUAACCACUUAGACAAACAGUUUAAUUUCCUUCGACAUGAUUUCUUCUGGACAAUAAAAACAAAAUUGCCAUAGAUAGACCUUUUUUGUUUGUUUGUUUGUUUACAUUAUGAAAAAUUUUACCUCCCUUUUACCUGCUGUUUUUCUUCCUCAUCUUCUGCACACUCGCUGGAGGUCUCCUGAAGGGUCCACGCUCAGGCUGCAUAAGUCUGGCAGUUAUCUUCAGUACCAGGUCUCACUUCAUAAUGGAAAACCUGGAAAUGUUUUCAUUUCCUUUAAAGUUAUCUGAGUCAGAGGAGCUAAAGGCAGAGAAUGGGCUCUCUCUGGGGUUGCUUGAAGAACUCAAGGUCCUAAAAGUGAAUGUCCUCUUCUAAUUGCUUGACAGAACUGUUUAUUUUCCAUGACUUAGCAAUUUAUGUCCAGGACAGGGUCUGACUGACCGGACUUGUGACAAAAUUAGAUAGAAAAUCUCUUAAUCCUUUUAUUUUUUCUCAUUGGCAAUGUUCAUGAGUCCAUUAUUCCUAUGGACUAGAGAGGAACGCAGGAAUUACAAGGAUGGGCCCAUUGAAUUGCAGGCUUGGGUUAUGCAGAAUAUCCUUUGAAUGGAUUCAUUGUCCUACAAUGGGUCUCAUAGAGUGAGAGGAUUUGUUGUUAAGGGCUGGGCUUAAAAUUUUUUAGCCUGAGUUUGAAUGCAAUGCAAGGCCACUUCAAUUGUCUUGGAAAUGAGAGUGCUAGUAACUAGUGGAGAGACUAUUUUGAAAUAAGAUAAUGACAUUCCCCAAAGCUGCUUCCAGUUUGAUAAUAAAUAUUAUCCACCAAAUGAUAUUAUACAGAUUUUCUUGUUAGAUUUUCUUGUUCGAGGGAAUUACACCAACAGAGGUUUUAACAGCUCUGUUGAGAUACUAUUUCCGUACCAUACAAUGCAUCCUAUUAAAGUGUUUAAUUCAACAGAUUUAGUGUAAUCAUAGAAUUGGAUAGCCAUCACCACAAUCUAAUUUUAGAACAUUUCCAUCACACUAAAAAGAAAUCCCAUAACCAUUAGCUAUAAUCAACCAGUCUUCAUUUCACCCCAGUCCUAUACAAUUGCUUAACUACUUUCUGUCUCUAUUGUUUUGCCUAUUACAGAUCUUUCGUAUCAAUGGAAUCAUAUAGUAUGUGGUCUUCUGUGACUGGCUUAUUUAAUUUAGCAUAAUGUUUUUAAGGUUCAUCCUGUUGUAGAAUAUAUUAGGGCUUCAUUCCUUGUUAUUGUUAUCCAUCGAUAGAUAUACAUUUGUUUAUUCAUUCAUCAGUUGUUAGACAUUGGGAUUAUUUCCCCUUUUGGAUAUUAUGAAUAAUGCAGCUAUUGCAGUGUUAUUUACAAAAGCCAAUACCUGGAAACAAUCUAAUUGUCCAUGGAUGGAUGAAUUGGUAAUGAAGAUGUGGGAUAUAUAUAUAUAUAUAUAUACCUAUAUCUAUAUAAGUGUGGUAAUUAGCCAUAAUAAAGGAAAAUCCUGCCAUUUGCAACAUCAUGGAUGACCUCCAAGAUGUUACGCUAAGAAAAAUAAGCCAGGGAAAGAUAAAUACUGUAUGAUCUCAUAUGUAUAUGGAAUCUGCAAAACAAACAAAGGAAAAGAGAUCAGAUGUGUUCAUUACCAGAGGUGGAGGGGGGAUUGGAUGAAGGCAGUCAAAAGGUAUAAACUUUCAGUUAUAAGAUAAAUAAGUACUGUGGAUGUAAUGUACAACAUGACAACUAUGAUUAAUACUAAUAUAUGGUAUAUAUGAAAGUUGUUAGAAUAAAUGCUAAGAGUUCCCAUCACAAGGAAAACAAUUUUAUUUUUCUUUUUCUCUAUUUUUUCUAUUUAUAUGAGAUAAUUAAACUAUUGUGACAAUCA